AAACUGGGGAUAAUUCCGGAUAGAUCAUAGAUGCUGGAAUGCGCUGUGAUCCAAAGCUAUUGUGCCUAAGGAUGGGUCUGCGGUCUAUCAGGUUGUAGUGGGUGUAAUGUACCUACUAGCCUACGACGGAUACGGGUUGUGGGAGCAAGAGCCCGGAGAUGGAUUCUGAGACAUGAAUCCAGGCCCCACGGGGCGCAGCAGGCGCGAGAACUUUACAAUGCGGGGAACCGCGAUAAGGGGACACCGAGUGCCAGCAUCCUAUGUUGGCUGUCCAUAUGUCUAAAUCACAUGUGUUAGCAAGGGCCGGGCAAGACCGGUGCCAGCCGCCGCGGUAACACCGGCGGCCCGAGUGGUGGCCACUAUUAUUGGGUCUAAAGGGUCCGUAGCCGGUUUGGUCAGUCUUCCGGGAAAUCUGACGGCUCAACCGUUAGGCUUUCGGGGGAUACUACCAGGCUUGGGACCGGGAGAGGUAAGAGGUACUACGGGGGUAGGAGUGAAAUCUUGUAAUCCCUGUGGGACCACCAGUGGCGAAGGCGUCUUACCAGAACGGGUCCGACGGUGAGGGACGAAAGCUGCGGGCACGAACCGGAUUAGAUACCCGGGUAGUCCCAGCUGUAAACUAUGCUCGCUAGGUGUCAGGGACGGUGC
RNAcentral lists this ribosomal RNA (648 nucleotides) under uncultured Methanomethylovorans sp. Its description in RNAcentral is "bacterial SSU rRNA". It matches the Rfam family "Archaeal small subunit ribosomal RNA", at positions 137 to 786 of the family's 1478-position model. The record is from RNAcentral. Lineage: Archaea; Methanobacteriati; Methanobacteriota; Methanomicrobia; Methanosarcinales; Methanosarcinaceae.